Molecule: non-coding RNA, 1168 nt
Organism: Hydra vulgaris (swiftwater hydra)
Lineage: Eukaryota; Metazoa; Cnidaria; Hydrozoa; Anthoathecata; Hydridae
Source: RefSeq, a predicted model, not a curated record
GAUAAUUAUAAAUGACCGCCAUUUAAAAACCCUGCGGAAACUUAUUUCGAUAAAAAGCAUGAAGAUUUUAACCUAUGGAAGACAUCAAUGAUUAUUUAGAAUAUUUUGACCAUCAUGAGUCAUUGAUUUUGUACAAUAUAUACUCUUAUAACCAAAAGCCUAAUGAGUAUAAGCAUUACCCAACUUUGAAGGAAAUUUUUCUGCAUGUUUUUCUAACCAAGUAAUUGUGCACUAAACAAGUGGAUUGACAAAGAAUAGCAACAAAUUUAUUGUCCCAAAAAAAAACUAUAAUCAUGCACUGAAAAACAACCUUUCGUCAACAAAAGAAUGGCACAAAUUUCCAUUGAUAAAGUGUAAGAUAACAGAUAGUCAGUAUCUAACUUGUUUUGUGUUUUUUUUUAAAGGUAACUUAAUUACUUUGUUGUAGCAAAAUGUUUUAUAAUUAGAUUUAUUUCAUGUUGUGAAGAAUACAACUUUCUACAUCAGAUGAGAUAUAUGUUAAAGAAAGCAUUAAAAAUAAGAAUAGCAAAUCAUACCGCUCUUCAUUGCCAGAACCUCCGCCACCUAUUAUGAAUAAGCCCAAUGAUAAAAAGUUGUUAUCAGAUUCAAAGAUUGAAGAAGAUAAUUUUUCUUCACAUUUUAUUGAUGAACAGAAUAAAACCAACCAAAGUUCACAUUGUCAAAGGGCUUCAAGUUUUAAUAUGAGUAUUUUUGGUUUUUACACCACUGAAUGUUAAUGUGGAGAGAUGCAAAAUGUUAUUCUCAAUGAGCUUGCAGAAAUAAAAGUUCUUUCAAAAGAAGUUAUAGAAAUUAAGUUUCAGGCUACUGGGGUGAAGUUGCUAGAAUCAGUGGAUGAAGUGGUUACACUGGAUAAUAAACUAAAAGAUAAAACCGAGUAUACUAAUUUGCUUGAUAGUUUGAAAAAGAUUGGUGGUGGAAAGUCAAGAGAACAUGUUUUUUUGAUCAUGAAAAGGUUAUUUUCGAAUCAGUUACAGUCCAAAUAUAAUCGAAAAGGAAAUGGAGAAAAGAUAAGCUUAGAAAAUCUAGUAAAUAUAUAAAGUGUUUUACGAGAUAUCGGAGACGUGGAAGAAAAUGUUGACGGCAAUGAAGUAGUAUAGUUCCUUAUGUAUAUUUUUGUGAAAUAAAAAUUAAGUAAUCUUAGUUAAAA